Molecule: long non-coding RNA, 497 nt
Organism: Hipposideros armiger (great roundleaf bat)
Lineage: Eukaryota; Metazoa; Chordata; Mammalia; Chiroptera; Hipposideridae
Exons: 3
Source: RefSeq, a predicted model, not a curated record
CAGGUCAAAGUCAUCUGCUUAACAACCUUUAACACGAGGGCCAUUUCCAGUUAGUUUGCUGCGUAAAAAGCGUCACCUGGAAGGUUUUCACCUGGCGGAGAGGCAGAGAAGCACUCUCAUGGCUGAAGACCUGCGAGAAAAUUCAUUCCAGCGCGCCGCCGUGGGAACGCCUCUCUCUUCCACAUUAAAACCAAAUGACCUUCAUGUCCUUCAUGUGCGUUUGUAACAAUAGCAUCAAAUCUCAGAACAAUAGCAAUCUCCACACCUAAGAAAAAAGGCUGGAAACAAGGACGCCAGGCAGACUAAGCAGAAAUCAAAGUGGAUGGAAAAAACCGGAUUCUUACUGCAUCGUUGCCGCUGGGGUUGUUUGUUGCGGUCCGUUGGUUGUAUGUUUCUGGUUUUGAUUAAAGUGCAAAACCUGAACAAUCAUACAUGGCAGCUUUGUCCCAGCCCCACGGAGAACACCUGUCAGCGCCUGAGUUUCUCCAGCAGUCACC